CCUACGGGUGGCAGCAGUGAGGAAUAUUGGUCAAUGGGCGGAAGCCUGAACCAGCCAAGUAGCGUGCAGGAUGACGGCCCUACUGGUUGUAAACUGCUUUUAUACGGGAAUAACGCGCCUUACGUGUAGGGCUUUGCAUGUACCUUAUGAAUAAGGACCGGCUAAUUCCGUGCCAGCAGCCGCGGUAAUACGGAAGGUCCGGGCGUUAGCCGGAUUUAUUGGGUUUAAAGGGAGCGUAGGCCGCAUGUCAAGCGUGCUGUGAAAUGUCCGGGCUCAACCCGGGCCUUGCAGCGCGAACUGGCGUGCUUGAGUCCGCGGAAAGCAGGCGGAAUGCGUGGUGUAGCGGUGAAAUGCUUAGAUAUGACGAAGAACCCCGAUUGCGAAGGCAGCUUGCUGCAGCGGAACUGACGCUGAUGCUCGAAAGCGUGGGGAUCGAACAGGAUUAGAUACCCGAGUAGUC
RNAcentral lists this ribosomal RNA (460 nucleotides) under uncultured bacterium. Its description in RNAcentral is "partial 16S ribosomal RNA". It matches the Rfam family "Bacterial small subunit ribosomal RNA", at positions 338 to 795 of the family's 1533-position model. The record is from RNAcentral.